Molecule: ribosomal RNA, 847 nt
Filed under: Staphylococcus epidermidis
Lineage: Bacteria; Bacillati; Bacillota; Bacilli; Caryophanales; Staphylococcaceae
Description: bacterial SSU rRNA
Rfam family: Bacterial small subunit ribosomal RNA
Source: RNAcentral
AUGGAGAGUUUGAUCCUGGCUCAGGAUGAACGCUGGCGGCGUGCCUAAUACAUGCAAGUCGAGCGAACAGACGAGGAGCUUGCUCCUCUGACGUUAGCGGCGGACGGGUGAGUAACACGUGGAUAACCUACCUAUAAGACUGGGAUAACUUCGGGAAACCGGAGCUAAUACCGGAUAAUAUAUUGAACCGCAUGGUUCAAUAGUGAAAGACGGUUUUGCUGUCACUUAUAGAUGGAUCCGCGCCGCAUUAGCUAGUUGGUAAGGUAACGGCUUACCAAGGCAACGAUGCGUAGCCGACCUGAGAGGGUGAUCGGCCACACUGGAACUGAGACACGGUCCAGACUCCUACGGGAGGCAGCAGUAGGGAAUCUUCCGCAAUGGGCGAAAGCCUGACGGAGCAACGCCGCGUGAGUGAUGAAGGUCUUCGGAUCGUAAAACUCUGUUAUUAGGGAAGAACAAAUGUGUAAGUAACUAUGCACGUCUUGACGGUACCUAAUCAGAAAGCCACGGCUAACUACGUGCCAGCAGCCGCGGUAAUACGUAGGUGGCAAGCGUUAUCCGGAAUUAUUGGGCGUAAAGCGCGCGUAGGCGGUUUUUUAAGUCUGAUGUGAAAGCCCACGGCUCAACCGUGGAGGGUCAUUGGAAACUGGAAAACUUGAGUGCAGAAGAGGAAAGUGGAAUUCCAUGUGUAGCGGUGAAAUGCGCAGAGAUAUGGAGGAACACCAGUGGCGAAGGCGACUUUCUGGUCUGUAACUGACGCUGAUGUGCGAAAGCGUGGGGAUCAAACAGGAUUAGAUACCCUGGUAGUCCACGCCGUAAACGAUGAGUGCUAAGUGUUAGGGGGUUU